CGAGAUUUCCCGGAAGCCAUUGCCCUAGCAAGAGCGUUGGGUCGCCUGGCAACCGCACCAAGGCUGCAGAGGAACCAGGCUGAGGAAAUUUACAAACCUGACUUCCAGACUCAGUUCCUCCCGCAAGGGGAGAGGUGCCUUCAGGGAAGAAGUCUGGGGGCUGCAGAAACCAUAAAGCCACGUUUCUCAAACUUGUCUGCCAAAAGUUGAGCAUAAAACAAUAGCUAAACCUGCUUCCUGACAUGGUAUCAGAACAGAGCUACUGCUGAGAGUUUGACUUAUAGAGAAAUCAUGGUUCGACUAACCUUGGAUCUAAUUGCCAAAAAUAACAAUCUUAAACCCCGAAAAGAAGAAACCACUUCACGAUACCUGAAGAAAAUAACUCAUCUAAAUUUUUCAGACAAAAAUAUAGAUACAAUUGGAGACCUCUCUCCUUGCAAAAGUCUUAGUGUUUUAUACUUGUAUGAUAACCGUAUUAGUGAAAUCACUAACUUGAAUUAUGCUACAAAUCUGACCCACCUGUACCUACAAAACAAUUGUAUUUCAUGUAUAGAGAACCUCAGGUCACUAAAGAAACUGGAAAAACUGUAUCUGGGAAGCAAUUAUAUUGCUGUCAUAGAAGGUUUAGAAGGAUUAGAAGGACUGAGAGAGCUUCAUGUUGAGAGUCAGAGGCUUCCCCUUGGAGAAAAGCUUCUGUUUGAUCCAAGAACUCUUCAUUCUCUGGGAAAAUCCCUCUCUAUAUUGAAUAUCAGCAAUAAUAAUAUUGAUGACAUAAGAGACUUAGAAAUACUGGAGAAUCUUAAUCAGCUCAUAGCAGUUGACAACCAACUUCUGCAUGUGAAGGAUUUGGAAUUUUUACUGAACAAGUUGAUGAAGCUGUGGAAAAUGGAUCUAAAUGGAAAUCCUGUUUGUCUCAAACCCAAAUACAGAGACAGACUGAUACUGGUGUCCAAAUCACUGGAAUUUCUUGAUGGAAAAGAAAUUAAAAAUAUGGAAAGACAAUUCCUAAUAAAUUGGAAAGCAUCCAAAGAUGCCAAGAAAAUCAGCAAGAAAAAGAACAGUAAAAACGAGGAUGCAAGUAACUCAUACAUAAGUAACUUUGAAACAAUCCAUCACAUAGUUCCUGUUUAUUACCCACAGGUGGGUAAGCCAAAAUUAGUCUUUUUCUCUGAUAUACCAAGAAACCUUGCAAAUGGAAAUGCAUCCUCAGAAAGCUCCCAAGAAGAUAAACCUAAAAUUGCUGAAGAUAUGGGGAAUUAGGACUACUCUAGAAUCAUCAGAGGAUUCAGAGAGGCUGCUUAGAGUAGCAGCAGAUAUGACCAGGUGGCCCACAGUGGAAUCCCUCUUUGAAGGAAUGUGAAAGCUUGCUGACAAAAAAAUGAUAUAUAUGAAUUUCACCUUCUCCAUAACCCAAAAGAAAAUGUUUGUAAAAAAAAAAAAAAAAGUAAAUUCGUCCUUAAGUGCUCUUUAA
Molecule: RNA transcript, 1471 nt
Organism: Leopardus geoffroyi (Geoffroy's cat)
Lineage: Eukaryota; Metazoa; Chordata; Mammalia; Carnivora; Felidae
Gene: PPP1R42
Gene name: protein phosphatase 1 regulatory subunit 42
Exons: 10
Source: RefSeq, a predicted model, not a curated record